This is a long non-coding RNA of Coregonus clupeaformis (lake whitefish), 159 nucleotides long. RefSeq lists it as uncharacterized. Lineage: Eukaryota; Metazoa; Chordata; Actinopteri; Salmoniformes; Salmonidae. The transcript is spliced from 3 exons. The record is from RefSeq and is a predicted model, not a curated record.
UUGAAUGAGUAGGUGUUGUAACUUUUGACUGGUAGUGUAUAUUUGUAAUUAUUUUUUAUAAUUGUUUUAAUGCCACCAGUGGUAGUGGUUUCACGGUUAAGCCUUAUUGUUAAUUCUGUGAAUAGCUUAUAUAUUUUAAAGUGGCAGUAUCCUUUUUUA